This 253-nucleotide ribosomal RNA is filed under the name uncultured bacterium. RNAcentral's name for it is "partial 16S ribosomal RNA". It matches the Rfam family "Bacterial small subunit ribosomal RNA", at positions 524 to 776 of the family's 1533-position model. The record is from RNAcentral.
GACUGAGGGUGCAAACGUUGUUCGGAAUUACUGGGCGUAAAGCGCGUGUAGGCGGCUUGGCAAGUCGGGUGUGAAAGCCCUGGGCUCAACCUAGGAAGUGCACUCGAUACUGCCAAGCUAGAGUGUCGGAGAGGUUGGUGGAAUUCUCGGUGUAGAGGUGAAAUUCGUAGAUAUCGAGAGGAACACCGGUGGCGAAGGCGGCCAACUGGACGAACACUGACGCUGAGACUCGAAAGCGUGGGGAGCAAACAGG